Molecule: long non-coding RNA, 2085 nt
Organism: Pogoniulus pusillus (Red-fronted tinkerbird)
Lineage: Eukaryota; Metazoa; Chordata; Aves; Piciformes; Lybiidae
Exons: 3
Source: RefSeq, a predicted model, not a curated record
CAGAGCAGAUGCUUGCCAGCUCUCUCGCUUUCAAAAGGCAGCUGAGGAGCCUUAGGCCUAUGGAGCUUGCCCAGAAGGGUGCUUACAGUGGGGAGCUCUCCUAACCCGGGCAGGCCCAGUCCCUCAGCAGCUUGUCCUUCGCGGCGCCAGGGGCCUCUCUCCACAGCAACUGUCCAGGCGGGGGAGAACUCUAAGGCGGGAGCCCAAGGUGUUGUUCCUGAGAUGUUUGUCUUUGUCCUCCUGAAGGUCUCCUUUUCUGUGAACAUGAGAAGAGCAAACAAAAUACAUUCAGCAGCUGCAGAGAGCAACAGAGGAGCCGGUAUUUCCUCCGGUGAAUAAAAUCAAUUGCAUCUUCAGAAGAGGUGUUUCCUUAAAACAAAGAAGAAAACAGGAGAGAGAACAGCCACCGCUGCCCCUUCCCCCCCAGCCCCCCCGCCCUGGCCGCGGCCGUGUGCCGGCGUUCGUGUGUCGGCUGUAGGUGUCACUGCGCUCAUGGCUUUGGGGUCAGGUGCCUGGGAUGUCAUUGCAACCAUUGAGCUGUCCACAUUAUUGAACGAGUCGGCGUUCAGAUGUUCAGCAUGCAUGGGACAUUGUCUGCUGGGCUGUUUGAGGCGCUGGCAGCAGAAGGUGACAUCUGGUGACUAAUGGGCUCAGAUGUGAAAGCCGUUCCCACAGUUCCGUGGGCUGCAGCUGCUCUGCCACCGCGCAAGAUGCAGGAAACGGGGAGAGAAGAGUAUCGCUAGGAGAAAUCAAUGCCUUCUGAUUUCAGAUGAAGUAUAUAACAUGGCCCCGGCUGCAGACAUUUUCCAGCCAGGGUCUUCUGAUAAAUGACAGCAGGACGCAAGCACGGCACUCUGUCUUGUCUCCAUUUACUUACCUCAACCGAUCAACUUCUAACGGAAUGGCUCCACCUUAGGAAACAAAGAUGGACCCUUUCCAGCCAAAGUCUAGCCUCUGCUCCUUAUUUUAUCAGGCAUCGCUCUGUCAAGAGCCAAACCACUCUGGUUUUGGUCUAAGCUCGGCUCCUCAUCCUCUCCCUGUAAUGCUUUUAAAAGGGAACCAGAGCUCUGGCUGUUUUCGCACAGGCAGGUAUGUGUGAGGAGAAACUCAUCUGUCAUUUAAACUCUCUGAAACAAAGACUAAGCCAGAACGUGGUGCCCACAUAUUUCAUGUUUGAUCCACUGAUCAGAUGUGAUUUGUCAAAUUCUUUGAAAUGGCAGGGAGGAGCCACAGGAAGAGCUCGGUGCUGCAGAUGGUAAAAACUCUGUUAUUAGCAGAUGACAGCACAAACCACCGAGUGGAAAAGCACAGAUAAAUUCAUGGCUGGAAGUUAUUGUUUACAGCAGCAAAAGGAUUAAAGCGGGGCUUUGUCAUGUGUGGGGGGAAGGGAGCUGGGAGGUGAGAAAGGAGCAUUCCUUAGUUCUUGUGCCCUUCCACUACAAGAAAAUCAGCGUGAUGGGUGUUAGGGAGUCACUAAAAAAAAGCUGACAGGAGACAGGAAAAGCAAGGACCUGAAAAGAGAGAGCUGUUUUGCUGUGCACGCACAGAUAAUCACAUGAUCUUCCAUCAUCCGAGCCUCUAGUGUGACGGAGGGAGGAUAGUCACACGCAUCAGCCUCAUAAAAUCUGCAAAAGCACUGCUCUUAAUUCAGCCAUCGGCUGCUUCCAGACCUCACGCAGGGAAUUACAACGAAAUUCUAUUUGCAGACUGACAUCCCUAAUGCUGCUGUGUCCUUAUGUUUACUUCAGUUAACUGUCAGCCCUUAUAAAGUGCACUGCGCUACAGCUGCUGCUGUGGAAAAGAAAACCCUCAGAGUAGCUGCUUUGGGGGAGGUAUUUGAGGGAAACAUAAAUAGAAGAAGCAGGAGGCAAAAAGAAACGAAAUAAAAUCUACUGGUGUAUCUGCACAAUGCGAGACUCAAAGCAGAGAUCAUUCAACCCUUGGUUUCCAUGCAAUUCUUGGGUUUUAGUCUUUGCUGAUAAAAUAUUUAACAGCCAUCUUAGCACUCAGCAUAGCAAUAACCUAAGAACAUCCCAGUUCUCAGCCCCCAUUGAGACAGAAUUCCAGUGAUGUGAAGUUCUCUCU